This 309-nucleotide ribosomal RNA is filed under the name uncultured bacterium. Its description in RNAcentral is "bacterial SSU rRNA". It matches the Rfam family "Bacterial small subunit ribosomal RNA", at positions 29 to 338 of the family's 1533-position model. The record is from RNAcentral.
AUCAACGCUGGCGGCGUGCCUAAUGCAUGCAAGUCGCACGGGGUGGCCUUCGGGUGGCUUACGUGGCGGACGGGUGAGGAACACGUGGGUAACCUGCCCGGUGGUGGGGGCUAGCCUUCGGAAACGGAGGGUAAUUCCGCAUAAGCUGGUCACUCGAGUGGGAGUGGUCAGGAAAGCGCGCGAGCGCGCCGCCGGAGGGGUCUGCGUCCGAUUAGCUGGUUGGUGGGGUAACGGCUCACCAAGGCGAUGAUCGGUAGCUGGUUUGAGAGGAUGAUCAGCCACACGGGGACUGAGACACGGCCCCGGACU